CUUCCCUUGGUGUAGUUGGUUCAUCACGUUCGACUGUAAUGGUUUCAUUGUCAUCGAAAGGUCUCUAGUUCGAUUCUGGAAGGGAAGA
This 88-nucleotide transfer RNA is filed under the name Colletotrichum higginsianum. Its description in RNAcentral is "tRNA CH063_16239". It matches the Rfam family "tRNA". Rfam says of the family: Transfer RNA (tRNA) molecules are approximately 80 nucleotides in length. Their secondary structure includes four short double-helical elements and three loops (D, anti-codon, and T loops). The record is from RNAcentral. Lineage: Eukaryota; Fungi; Ascomycota; Sordariomycetes; Glomerellales; Glomerellaceae.